AUUGAACGCUGGCGGCAGGCCUAACACAUGCAAGUCGAGCGGAUGCAGGGAGCUUGCUCCUGGAUUCAGGAGCGGACGGGUGAGUAAUGCCUAUGAAUAUGCCUGGUAGUUGGGUAUCACGUCCGAAAACGGGCGCUAAUACCUCAUACGUCCUGAGGGCGAACGUGGGGGAUCUUCGGACCUCACGCUAUCAGAUGAGCCUAGGUCCGAAUGGCUAGUUGGUGGGGUAAAGGGCUACCGAGGCGACGAUCCGUAACUGGUCUGAGAGGAUGAUCAGUCACACUGGAACUGAGACACGGUCCAGACUCCUACGGGAGGCAGCAGUGGGGAAUAUUGGACAAUGGGCGAAAGCCUGAUCCAGCCAUGCCGCGUGUGUGAAGAAGGUCUUCGGAUUGGAAAGCACUUUAAGUUGGGAGGAAGGGCAGUAAGUUAAUACCGUGCUGUUUUGACGUUACCAACAGAAUAAGCACCGGCUAACUUCGUG
RNAcentral lists this ribosomal RNA (484 nucleotides) under uncultured bacterium. Its description in RNAcentral is "partial 16S ribosomal RNA". It matches the Rfam family "Bacterial small subunit ribosomal RNA", at positions 30 to 507 of the family's 1533-position model. The record is from RNAcentral.